UGGGGAAUAUUGCACAAUGGACGAAAGCCUGAUGCAGCGACGCCGCGUGAGGGAUGACGGCCUUCGGGUUGUAAACCUCUUUCAGCAGGGACGAAGCGCAAGUGACGGUACCUGCAGAAGAAGCACCGGCUAACUACGUGCCAGCAGCCGCGGUAAUACGUAGGGUGCAAGCGUUGUCCGGAAUUACUGGGCGUAAAGUGUUCGUAGGCGGUUUGUCGCGUCGUUGGUGAAAACCAGCAGCUCAACUGCUGGCUUGCAGGCGAUACGGGCAGACUUGAGUACUGCAGGGGAGACUGGAAUUCCUGGUGUAGCGGUGAAAUGCGCAGAUAUCAGGAGGAACACCGGUGGCGAAGGCGGGUCUCUGGGCAGUAACUGACGCUGAGGAACGAAAGCGUGGGUAGCGAACAGG
This 409-nucleotide ribosomal RNA is filed under the name bacterium. RNAcentral describes it as "partial 16S ribosomal RNA". It matches the Rfam family "Bacterial small subunit ribosomal RNA", at positions 355 to 776 of the family's 1533-position model. The record is from RNAcentral.